AUUGAACGCUGGCGGCAGGCCUAACACAUGCAAGUCGAGCGGAUCGACCGACGGAUGAGUAAUGCAUAUGAAUCUGCCUGGUAGUUGGGGAUAACGUCCGGAAGCGGGCGCUAACACCGCAUACUCUCCGCUGAGCCUACCUGGGAUUAGCUAGUUGGUGGGGUAAGGGCCUACCAAGGCGACGAUCCCUAACUGGUCUGAGAGGAUGAUCAGUCACACUGGAACUGAGACACGGUCCAGACUCCUACGGGAGGCAGCAGUGGGGAAUAUUGGACAAUGGGCGAAAGCCUGAUGCAGCCAUGCCGCGUGUGUGAAGAAGGUCUUCGGGUUGUAAAGCACUUUAAGUUGGGAGGCGUUACCAACAGAAUAAGCACCGGCUAACUCCGUGCCAGCAGCCGCGGUAAUAC
Molecule: ribosomal RNA, 407 nt
Filed under: uncultured bacterium
Lineage: Bacteria
Description: partial 16S ribosomal RNA
Rfam family: Bacterial small subunit ribosomal RNA
Source: RNAcentral